GUGCACAGGAUUCAAGAGGACAACUUCGACUGUGAAAAUUUCUCUGUACUUCCUUCAUUCGAAACUCAAACUCAGAAGUAGGGGGACUGGUAUUGGGUAUAAAAUACCCCCCCAGCCGAAGUUCAUACCAGGAGUGACCCUCCAGGGGUUCUACCAACGUCCGACCUUCGGCGACAUCUUCCCGAACCUCUCCGGCGGUCGAGCCUCCGUAACGUUCCCAAGUUCUGCCGACGGAUAAACUGCCACCAGUGUGGGCCGGAUUCUCCACGAUGGGCAGACUUUACCCGAGUCCCGGUAGUGGUCGACCACCUUCUGGUCUGCAUCCGGACUCCUACGGGAGCCAGACUUCAUCCCCGACUUCAACUGCAGGUAGACUUCAUCCGGACUCCUACGGGAGCCGGACUUCGUCUCCGACUUCAACUGCAGGUAGACUUCAUCCGGACUCCUACGGGAGUCGGACUUCAUCCCCGACUUCAACUGCAGGUAGACUUCAUCCGGACUCGUACGGGAGUCGGACUUCGUCCCC
RNAcentral lists this long non-coding RNA (526 nucleotides) under Elaeis guineensis (African oil palm). RNAcentral describes it as "long non-coding RNA (EGUI_LNC082644)". Lineage: Eukaryota; Viridiplantae; Streptophyta; Magnoliopsida; Arecales; Arecaceae. The record is from RNAcentral.